CCAUGAGUGAGUGUGACCAUAAAUGAGUUCCUAAGGGGCCAUUGUGACAAUAUCUAGGCUGAUGUUAGCAGAAUAUUUAAACCAGGACUGUCCUGCUGGCUCCAGGUUACAUGAUCCUUUUUAGAGCAAUGGAGUGUUGUUGGUUUUUUUUGUUGUGAGGAAGAUUGGCCUCUAGCUAACAUCUGUGUCAGUCUUCCUCCGUUUUAUGUGGGAUGCUACCACAGUGUGGCUGGAUGAGUGGUGCUAGGUCCGUGGCCAGGGUCCGAACCUGAGAACACUGGGCUGCCGAAGUGGAGUGCAAGAACUUAACCACUACAACACCAGGCUGGCUCCCAGUGGAGUGUUUAAAUUACACAUCCCAGCUGCUGCCAGGAUCCAAUUCAAGUCUAUCCUCUCCCUCCCUCGCAGGCAAAACUUCACUCAAUUCUUCCAAACCGAGGCGGUUCUCUGGUGGUACAGCUUGAUGCUCAAGAGCUCUGUGCAACAACUCACCUUCAGCACCCUUGGGGCAUGCUGGUCUCAGCAGCAAGUGGCGCACAACGUGAGGCACGAAGGAAGGGUCGCCAAAGAAUGACAGUGGAGUUUCAGCGGUGCGGAACCUGGAAGCGGUGUGAGGCCUCAGAAAAUUCCCCGUGUGGACAUCUUAAGCCAUAUCAUGAGCACCCCGCCAAGAAAACGUCGAUUCGCGUGGGACGUCGAACCACCGGUGAUGAGUUUUCAGGGUCUAAGCCUGAAGACUACCAAAACCACAUUCCUGCUGCCUCAGACGCAUCGUGCAUCAAUUCCAACCUGGGCACAAAUAGAUUGACUCAACAAACAGAGAGGGUGUUAGAACAAGAGAAGAAACCUGUCACUCCAUAUAACUUGGC
This 869-nucleotide long non-coding RNA is filed under the name Equus asinus (donkey). RNAcentral's name for it is "lncRNA (ENSEASG00005024183.1)". The record is from RNAcentral. Lineage: Eukaryota; Metazoa; Chordata; Mammalia; Perissodactyla; Equidae.